Molecule: ribosomal RNA, 468 nt
Filed under: uncultured bacterium
Lineage: Bacteria
Description: partial 16S ribosomal RNA
Rfam family: Bacterial small subunit ribosomal RNA
Source: RNAcentral
GACGAACGCUGGCGGCGUGCUUAACACAUGCAAGUCGAACGGAAAGGCCCUGCUUUUGUGGGGUGCUCGAGUGGCGAACUGGUGAGUAACACGUGAGUAACCUGCCCUUGACUGUGGGAUAACUUCAGGAAACUGGGGCUAAUACCGGAUAGGAGCUCCUGCUGCAUGGUGGGGGUUGGAAAGUUUCGGCGGUUGGGGAUGGACUCGCGGCUUAUCAGCUUGUUGGUGGGGUAGUGGCUUACCAAGGCUUUGACGGGUAGCCGGCCUGAGAGGGUGACCGGCCACAUUGGGACUGAGAUACGGCCCAGAAUCCUACGGGAGGCAGCAGUGGGGAAUAUUGCACAAUGGGCGGAAGCCUGAUGCAGCAACGCCGCGUGCGGGAUGACGGCCUUCGGGUUGUAAACCGCUUUCGCCUGUGACGAAGCGUGAGUGACGGUAAUGGGUAAAGAAGCACCGGCUAACUACGUG